ACUAAGCGUACACGGUGGAUGCCCUGGCAGUCAGAGGCGAUGAAGGACGUGCUAAUCUGCGAAAAGCGUCGGUAAGGUGAUAUGAACCGUUAUAACCGGCGAUGUCCGAAUGGGGAAACCCAGUGUGUUUCGACACACUAUCAUUAACUGAAUCCAUAGGUUAAUGAGGCGAACCGGGGGAACUGAAACAUCUAAGUACCCCGAGGAAAAGAAAUCAACCGAGAUUCCCCCAGUAGCGGCGAGCGAACGGGGAGGAGCCCAGAGCCUGAAUCAGUGUGUGUGUUAGUGGAAGCGUCUGGAAAGGCGCGCGAUACAGGGUGACAGCCCCGUACACAAAAAUGCACAUGCUGUGAGCUCGAUGAGUAGGGCGGGACACGUGGUAUCCUGUCUGAAUAUGGGGGGACCAUCCUCCAAGGCUAAAUACUCCUGACUGACCGAUAGUGAACCAGUACCGUGAGGGAAAGGCGAAAAGAACCCCGGCGAGGGGAGUGAAAAAGAACCUGAAACCGUGUACGUACAAGCAGUGGGAGCCCUGAUUUAUCAGGGUGACUGCGUACCUUUUGUAUAAUGGGUCAGCGACUUAUAUUCUGUAGCAAGGUUAACCGAAUAGGGGAGCCGGAGGGAAACCGAGUCUUAACUGGGCGUUAAGUUGCAGGGUAUAGACCCGAAACCCGGUGAUCUAGCCAUGGGCAGGUUGAAGGUUGGGUAACACUAACUGGAGGACCGAACCGACUAAUGUUGAAAAAUUAGCGGAUGACUUGUGGCUGGGGGUGAAAGGCCAAUCAAACCGGGAGAUAGCUGGUUCUCCCCGAAAGCUAUUUAGGUAGCGCCUCGUGAAUUCAUCUCCGGGGGUAGAGCACUGUUUCGGCAAGGGGGUCAUCCCGACUUACCAACCCGAUGCAAACUGCGAAUACCGGAGAAUGUUAUCACGGGAGACACACGGCGGGUGCUAACGUCCGUCGUGAAGAGGGAAACAACCCAGACCGCCAGCUAAGGUCCCAAAGUCAUGGUUAAGUGGGAAACGAUGUGGGAAGGCCCAGACAGCCAGGAUGUUGGCUUAGAAGCAGCCAUCAUUUAAAGAAAGCGUAAUAGCUCACUGGUCGAGUCGGCCUGCGCGGAAGAUGUAACGGGGCUAAACCAUGCACCGAAGCUGCGGCAGCGACACUGUGUGUUGUUGGGUAGGGGAGCGUUCUGUAAGCCUGUGAAGGUGUGCUGUGAGGCAUGCUGGAGGUAUCAGAAGUGCGAAUGCUGACAUAAGUAACGAUAAAGCGGGUGAAAAGCCCGCUCGCCGGAAGACCAAGGGUUCCUGUCCAACGUUAAUCGGGGCAGGGUGAGUCGACCCCUAAGGCGAGGCCGAAAGGCGUAGUCGAUGGGAAACAGGUUAAUAUUCCUGUACUUGGUGUUACUGCGAAGGGGGGACGGAGAAGGCUAUGUUGGCCGGGCGACGGUUGUCCCGGUUUAAGCGUGUAGGCUGGUUUUCCAGGCAAAUCCGGAGAAUCAAGGCUGAGGCGUGAUGACGAGGCACUACGGUGCUGAAGCAACAAAUGCCCUGCUUCCAGGAAAAGCCUCUAAGCAUCAGGUAACAUCAAAUCGUACCCCAAACCGACACAGGUGGUCAGGUAGAGAAUACCAAGGCGCUUGAGAGAACUCGGGUGAAGGAACUAGGCAAAAUGGUGCCGUAACUUCGGGAGAAGGCACGCUGAUAUGUAGGUGAAGCGACUUGCUCGUGGAGCUGAAAUCAGUCGAAGAUACCAGCUGGCUGCAACUGUUUAUUAAAAACACAGCACUGUGCAAACACGAAAGUGGACGUAUACGGUGUGACGCCUGCCCGGUGCCGGAAGGUUAAUUGAUGGGGUCAGCGCAAGCGAAGCUCUUGAUCGAAGCCCCGGUAAACGGCGGCCGUAACUAUAACGGUCCUAAGGUAGCGAAAUUCCUUGUCGGGUAAGUUCCGACCUGCACGAAUGGCGUAAUGAUGGCCAGGCUGUCUCCACCCGAGACUCAGUGAAAUUGAACUCGCUGUGAAGAUGCAGUGUACCCGCGGCAAGACGGAAAGACCCCGUGAACCUUUACUAUAGCUUGACACUGAACACUGGUCCUUGAUGUGUAGGAUAGGUGGGAGGCUUUGAAGUGUGGACGCCAGUCUGCAUGGAGCCGUCCUUGAAAUACCACCCUUUAAUGGCUGGUGUUCUAACGUGGGCCCGUAAUCCGGGUUGCGGACAGUGUCUGGUGGGUAGUUUGACUGGGGCGGUCUCCUCCUAAAGAGUAACGGAGGAGCACGAAGGUUGGCUAAUCCUGGUCGGACAUCAGGAGGUUAGUGCAAUGGCAUAAGCCAGCUUGACUGCGAGCGUGACGGCGCGAGCAGGUGCGAAAGCAGGUCAUAGUGAUCCGGUGGUUCUGAAUGGAAGGGCCAUCGCUCAACGGAUAAAAGGUACUCCGGGGAUAACAGGCUGAUACCGCCCAAGAGUUCAUAUCGACGGCGGUGUUUGGCACCUCGAUGUCGGCUCAUCACAUCCUGGGGCUGAAGUAGGUCCCAAGGGUAUGGCUGUUCGCCAUUUAAAGUGGUACGCGAGCUGGGUUUAGAACGUCGUGAGACAGUUCGGUCCCUAUCUGCCGUGGGCGCUGGAGAACUGAGGGGGGCUGCUCCUAGUACGAGAGGACCGGAGUGGACGCAUCACUGGUGUUCGGGUUGUCAUGCCAAUGGCACUGCCCGGUAGCUAAAUGCGGAAGAGAUAAGUGCUGAAAGCAUCUAAGCACGAAACUUGCCCCGAGAUGAGUUCUCCCUGAGACUUAGAGUCUCCUGAAGGAACGUUGAAGACGACGACGUUGAUAGGCCGGGUGUGUAAGCGCAGCGAUGCGUUGAGCUAACCGGUACUAAUGAACCGUGAGGCUUAACC
Molecule: ribosomal RNA, 2894 nt
Filed under: Escherichia albertii
Lineage: Bacteria; Pseudomonadati; Pseudomonadota; Gammaproteobacteria; Enterobacterales; Enterobacteriaceae
Description: bacterial LSU rRNA
Rfam family: Bacterial large subunit ribosomal RNA
Source: RNAcentral